This 465-nucleotide ribosomal RNA is filed under the name Vreelandella stevensii. Its description in RNAcentral is "partial 16S ribosomal RNA". It matches the Rfam family "Bacterial small subunit ribosomal RNA", at positions 338 to 795 of the family's 1533-position model. Lineage: Bacteria; Pseudomonadati; Pseudomonadota; Gammaproteobacteria; Oceanospirillales; Halomonadaceae. The record is from RNAcentral.
CCUACGGGAGGCUGCAGUGGGGAAUAUUGGACAAUGGGGGGAACCCUGAUCCAGCCAUGCCGCGUGUGUGAUGAAGGCCCUCGGGUUGUAAAGCACUUUCAGUGAGGAAGAACGCCUGGUGGUUAAUACCCAUCAGGAAAGACAUCACUCACAGAAGAAGCACCGGCUAACUCCGUGCCAGCAGCCGCGGUAAUACGGAGGGUGCGAGCGUUAAUCGGAAUUACUGGGCGUAAAGCGCGCGUAGGUGGCUUGAUAAGCCGGUUGUGAAAGCCCCGGGCUCAACCUGGGAACGGCAUCCGGAACUGUCAAGCUAGAGUGCAGGAGAGGAAGGUAGAAUUCCCGGUGUAGCGGUGAAAUGCGUAGAGAUCGGGAGGAAUACCAGUGGCGAAGGCGGCCUUCUGGACUGACACUGACACUGAGGUGCGAAAGCGUGGGUAGCAAACAGGAUUAGAUACCCUAGUAGUC